AUACGGAGGAUGCGAGCGUUAUCCGGAUUUAUUGGGUUUAAAGGGUGCGUAGGCGGACUGGUAAGUCAGCUGUGAAAGUUUGCGGCUUAACCGUAAAAUUGCAGUUGAUACUGUCAGUCUUGAGUGUGCAUGAGGUGGGCGGAAUUUGUGGUGUAGCGGUGAAAUGCUUAGAUAUCACGAGGAACUCCAAUUGCGAAGGCAGCUCACUGGGGCAUAACUGACGCUGAUGCACGAAGGUGUGGGUAUCAAACAGGAUUAGAUACCCUGGUAGUCCACACAGUAAACUAUGAAUACUCGCUGUUUGCGAUAUACAGUAAGCGGCCAAGCGAAAGCAUUAAGUAUUCCACCUGGGGAGUACGCCGGCAACGGUGAAACUCAAAGGAAUUGGCGGGG
RNAcentral lists this ribosomal RNA (393 nucleotides) under uncultured bacterium. RNAcentral describes it as "partial 16S ribosomal RNA". It matches the Rfam family "Bacterial small subunit ribosomal RNA", at positions 523 to 918 of the family's 1533-position model. The record is from RNAcentral.